GCUUUACACAUGCAAGUCGUACGAAAGUUUUUAACUUAAGUGGCGGACGGGUGAGUAACACGUAAGUAAUCUGCCUGGAAAUUGGGGAUAGCCUGUGGAAACACAGGGUAAUACCGAAUACGCCCUAUAAAUGGGAAUUUAUAGGGGAAAGGGGCUAAGGCCUCGUUUCCAGAUGAGCUUGCGGUUCAUUAGCUAGUUGGUGGGGUAAAGGCCUACCAAGGCGACGAUGAAUAGCCGGCCUGAGAGGGUGACC
RNAcentral lists this ribosomal RNA (253 nucleotides) under uncultured bacterium. RNAcentral's name for it is "partial 16S ribosomal RNA". It matches the Rfam family "Bacterial small subunit ribosomal RNA", at positions 46 to 305 of the family's 1533-position model. The record is from RNAcentral.